This 344-nucleotide unclassified non-coding RNA is filed under the name fungal sp. RNAcentral describes it as "partial internal transcribed spacer region". The stretch from base 1 to 46 matches the Rfam family "Eukaryotic small subunit ribosomal RNA", at positions 1786 to 1831 of the family's 1831-position model. The record is from RNAcentral. Lineage: Eukaryota; Fungi.
AAGUCGUAACAAGGUUUCCGUAGGUGAACCUGCGGAAGGAUCAUUAACACGUCUAACAACGUUUUCAUGAUAACCCCUCUGUGAACUAUUUUCCGGCGCAAGUCGGUUAAAACCAAAUCCUAGUGUGUGAGCGUUCACGCGCUUUGCGCUCUAGGUCGCUGUAAAAGGCUGUGCUCGCACGGCUGCUUUCCUUUUACCGGGAGAGAACAGCGUUAACCCAACCAAACCCUUGAACCUAACUGCUCUGAACACCCUAACAAUGGUUGUGAGUCCCUUUUUUUGGGACAAGCGCCGGAGUUAACAAAAAUAAAAAACAACUCUUAACAACGGAUAUCUUGGUUCUC